GCGGAAGUGGCGGAAUGGCAGACGCGCUAGGUUGAGGGCCUAGUGAGGGUUAACCUCAUGCGGGUUCAAGUCCCGCCUUCCGCACCA
RNAcentral lists this transfer RNA (87 nucleotides) under Armatimonadota bacterium. RNAcentral's name for it is "Armatimonadetes bacterium (anaerobic digester metagenome) tRNA-Leu". It matches the Rfam family "tRNA". From Rfam's summary of the family: Transfer RNA (tRNA) molecules are approximately 80 nucleotides in length. Their secondary structure includes four short double-helical elements and three loops (D, anti-codon, and T loops). Lineage: Bacteria; Bacillati; Armatimonadota. The record is from RNAcentral.